This 180-nucleotide ribosomal RNA is filed under the name uncultured bacterium. Its description in RNAcentral is "partial 16S ribosomal RNA". It matches the Rfam family "Bacterial small subunit ribosomal RNA", at positions 1307 to 1500 of the family's 1533-position model. The record is from RNAcentral.
GCAACUCGCCUACAUGAAGCUGGAAUUGCUAGUAAUCACAGGUCAGCAUACUGUGGUGAAUACGUUCCCGGGCCUUGUACACACCGCCCGUCACACCAUGAGAGUUGAGAAUACCCGAAGUCCAUGUCAAAGUGGCCGAAGGUAGGCUUGAUGAUUGGGGUGAAGUCGUAACAAGGUAAC